UUUAGUGGCGGACUGGUGAGUAACACGUAAGCAACCUGCCUAUUAGAGGGGAACAACAGUUAGAAAUGACUGCUAAUACCGCAUAUGCCAUAGUGAAGACAUCUUCACAGUGGGAAAGGAGCAAUCCGCUAAUAGAUGGGCUUGCGUCUGAUUAGAUAGUUGGUGGGGUAACGGCCUACCAAGUCGACGAUCAGUAGCCGGACUGAGAGGUUGAACGGCCACAUUGGGACUGAGAUACGGCCCAGACUCC
Molecule: ribosomal RNA, 250 nt
Filed under: uncultured Oscillospiraceae bacterium
Lineage: Bacteria; Bacillati; Bacillota; Clostridia; Eubacteriales; Oscillospiraceae
Description: partial 16S ribosomal RNA
Rfam family: Bacterial small subunit ribosomal RNA
Source: RNAcentral